GAUGAACGCUGGCGGCGUGCCUAACACAUGCAAGUCGAGCGAAGCACUUUGCUUAGAUUCUUCGGAUGAAGAGGAUUGUGACUGAGCGGCGGACGGGUGAGUAACGCGUGGGUAACCUGCCUCAUACAGGGGGAUAACAGUUAGACAUGACUGCUAAUACCGCAUAAGACCACAGCACCGCAUGGUGCGGGGGUAAAAACUCCGGUGGUAUGAGAUGGACCCGCGUCUGAUUAGCUAGUUGGUAAGGUAACGGCUUACCAAGGCGACGAUCAGUAGCCGACCUGAGAGGGUGACCGGCCACAUUGGGACUGAGACACGGCCCAAACUCCUACGGGAGGCAGCAGUGGGGAAUAUUGCACAAUGGGGGAAACCCUGAUGCAGCGACGCCGCGUGAGCGAAGAAGUAUUUCGGUAUGUAAAGCUCUAUCAGCAGGGAAGAAAAUGACGGUACCUGACUAAGAAGCACCGGCUAAAUACGUGCCAGCAGCCGCGGUAAUACGUAUGGUGCAAGCGUUAUCCGGAUUUACUGGGUGUAAAGGGAGCGUAGACGGAUGGGCAAGUCUGAUGUGAAAACCCGGGGCUCAACCCCGGGACUGCAUUGGAAACUGUUCAUCUAGAGUGCUGGAGAGGUAAGUGGAAUUCCUAGUGUAGCGGUGAAAUGCGUAGAUAUUAAGAGGAACACCAGUGGCGAAAGGCGGCUUACUGGACAGUAACUGACGUUGAGGCUCGAAAGCGUGGGGGAGCAAACAGG
RNAcentral lists this ribosomal RNA (750 nucleotides) under uncultured Ruminococcus sp. Its description in RNAcentral is "bacterial SSU rRNA". It matches the Rfam family "Bacterial small subunit ribosomal RNA", at positions 28 to 776 of the family's 1533-position model. The record is from RNAcentral. Lineage: Bacteria; Bacillati; Bacillota; Clostridia; Eubacteriales; Oscillospiraceae.